This 762-nucleotide long non-coding RNA is filed under the name Hordeum vulgare. Its description in RNAcentral is "long non-coding RNA (HVUL_LNC011512)". Lineage: Eukaryota; Viridiplantae; Streptophyta; Magnoliopsida; Poales; Poaceae. The record is from RNAcentral.
AAAGUUUUAAGAUCAUUAGACUAUGGCACAAAGAGCAGCACACACAUAAAUUAUUAGAACAGUGAACCACAUAUGAAACAAACAGAGAACAUGUAUGGUAUCCCAAUUUCACAAUGAAUUAAACAGCAGUCUUAUGGGAGGUGCUUUUUACAAAAAUAAUUUCAUUAGAAACCUACCUCUUUCAGUGAAUGAAGCAAGAGAUACUGCUUCUUCUGUUGAUUGUCAAUCUGAUCCAAGAUGAAUGGCAAAUACUUGGAUAGAUUGCCAACAGCAAUGUUUCCAAGAGCAUACGAUGCUGCAGACUUUAUCUCCUCAAAAGGUGACUGGAACGACUCGAUGACAAUGUUCUCAAUUUGAACAUGAUUGCUGAGCACAUUUCUGAUCACCAGCUGCUAAGCAUAGCACAGCAACACACUGUGCAAUAGAGGAUAGUGCCUGCUUGGAAAGACCGCCUGACUGUGAUGGCUUGGCAGUUGAAAUAAGGGAGUCCAACAAUGUUUCAAAGCUUGUAUUUGCAGACUGGACCAGUCAAAAGGUGACUGGAACGACUCGAUGACAAUGUUCUCAAUUUGAACAUGAUUGCUGAGGUCCUUCCUUCUUCCAAUUUCUCCCAAACAUAACAAGGCCAUGUGUUGUUUAGCCUGAAAAACACAUUAUAAGCAAUUAAAAAUGACCAAGAGAAGGGCAUAAUAUAUCUUUGAGUCAAACAUAAGUAUGCAGUUAACCAAUAGUAAAUAAUAUUGAUUUGCAGAUGCCCAUANN